Molecule: ribosomal RNA, 418 nt
Filed under: uncultured bacterium
Lineage: Bacteria
Description: bacterial SSU rRNA
Rfam family: Bacterial small subunit ribosomal RNA
Source: RNAcentral
GUGAGGAAUAUUGCGCAAUGGGGGAAACCCUGACGCAGCGACGCCGCGUGGAGGAUGAAGGCCCUCGGGUCGUAAACUCCUUUCGCCAGGGAAGAAAGGCUCUUCGGAGUUUGACGGUACCUGGAUAAGAAGCCCCGGCUAACUACGUGCCAGCAGCCGCGGUAAUACGUAGGGGGCGAGCGUUGCUCGGAAUCACUGGGCGUAGAGGGUCUGUAGGCGGUUUGGCAAGUUGGCUGUGAAAUCUCCCGGCUUAACCGGGAGCCUGCGGUCAAAACUGUUGAACUAGAGGGUCGGAGAGGCAGGUAGAAUUCCUGGUGUAGCGGUGAAAUGCGUAGAGAUCAGGAGGAAUACCGGUGGCGAAGGCGGCCUGCUGGACGGCACCUGACGCUGAGAGACGAAAGCUGGGGGAGCAAACAGG